RNAcentral lists this ribosomal RNA (253 nucleotides) under uncultured bacterium. Its description in RNAcentral is "partial 16S ribosomal RNA". It matches the Rfam family "Bacterial small subunit ribosomal RNA", at positions 524 to 776 of the family's 1533-position model. The record is from RNAcentral.
UACGAAGGUCCCGAGCGUUGUUCGGAAUCACUGGGCGUAAAGGGAGCGUAGGCGGCGCGGUCAGUCAGAUGUGAAAUCCCGGGGCUCAACCCCGGAACUGCAUCCGAUACUGCCGUGCUAGAGGAUUGGAGAGGUAGCUGGAAUUCUUGGUGUAGCAGUGAAAUGCGUGGAUAUCAAGAGGAACACUCGUGGCGAAAGCGAGCUACUGGACAACUCCUGACGCUGAGGCUCGAAGGCCAGGGUAGCGAAAGGG